UGGGGAAUAUUGCACAAUGGGCGCAAGCCUGAUGCAGCCAUGCCGCGUGUGUGAAGAAGGCCUUCGGGUUGUAAAGCACUUUCAGCGGGGAGGAAGGCGUUAAGGUUAAUAACCUUGGCGAUUGACGUUACCCGCAGAAGAAGCACCGGCUAACUCCGUGCCAGCAGCCGCGGUAAUACGGAGGGUGCAAGCGUUAAUCGGAAUUACUGGGCGUAAAGCGCACGCAGGCGGUCUGUCAAGUCGGAUGUGAAAUCCCCGGGCUCAACCUGGGAACUGCAUUCGAAACUUGCAGGCUAGAGUCUUGUAGAGGGGGGUAGAAUUCCAGGUGUAGCGGUGAAAUGCGUAGAGAUGUGGAGGAAUACCGGUGGCGAAGGCGGCCCCCUGGACAAAGACUGACGCUCAGGUGCGAAAGCGUGGGGAGCAAACAGG
Molecule: ribosomal RNA, 429 nt
Filed under: Chloroflexota bacterium
Lineage: Bacteria; Bacillati; Chloroflexota
Description: Chloroflexi bacterium partial 16S ribosomal RNA
Rfam family: Bacterial small subunit ribosomal RNA
Source: RNAcentral